This 169-nucleotide non-coding RNA is filed under the name bovine gut metagenome. Its description in RNAcentral is "Lysine riboswitch". It matches the Rfam family "Lysine riboswitch aptamer". From Rfam's summary of the family: Riboswitches are metabolite binding domains within certain messenger RNAs that serve as precision sensors for their corresponding targets. The record is from RNAcentral.
UUGAUAGAGGACGCGGAAAUGAUCAGUACCUCACAGCAACGCCGGCAAGCGGUUGUGAGCGAAAGGCUGUUCCGCCGAAGUGGAGUAUCGGUUGCCGCCGCUAUGCUGCUGGGACUGUGUUUAAGAGACACAGCACUGUCACACAAGACGAUGUGUGGAGAGCUAUCAG